AGAGUUUGAUCAUGGCUCAGAAUCAACGCUGGCGGCGUGCCUAACACAUGCAAGUCGAACGAGAAAGUGGAGCAAUCCAUGAGUAAAGUGGCGACCGGGUGAGUAACACGUGACUAACCUACCUCCGAGUGGGGAAUAACUCCGGGAAACCGGGGCUAAUACCGCAUAACAUCGCAAGAUCAAAGCAGCAAUGCGCUUGGAGAGGGGGUCGCGGCUGAUUAGCUAGUUGGCGGGGUAACGGCCCACCAAGGCGAAGAUCGGUAUCCGGCCUGAGAGGGCGCACGGACACACUGGAACUGAAACACGGUCCAGACUCCUACGGGAGGCAGCAGUGGGGAAUUUUGCGCAAUGGGGGAAACCCUGACGCAGCAACGCCGCGUGGAGGAUGAAGUCCCUUGGGACGUAAACUCCUUUCGACCGGGAAGAUACUGACGGUACCGGAUGAAGAAGCACCGGCUAACUCUGUGCCAGCAGCCGCGGUAAUACAGAGGGUGCGAGCGUUGUUCGGAAUUAUUGGGCGUAAAGGGCGCGUAGGCGGCGCGGUAGGUCACCUGUGAAAUCUCCUGGCUCAACUGGGAGCUUGCAGGCGAAACUGCCGUGCUGGAGUGUGGGAGAGGUGCGUGGAAUUCCUGGUGUAGCGGUGAAAUGCGUAGAUAUCAGGAGGAACACCUGUGGCGAAAGCGGCGCACUGGACCACAACUGACGCUGAGGCGCGAAGGCUAGGGGAGCAAACAGGAUUAGAUACCCCAGUAGUCC
This 756-nucleotide ribosomal RNA is filed under the name uncultured bacterium. RNAcentral's name for it is "bacterial SSU rRNA". It matches the Rfam family "Bacterial small subunit ribosomal RNA", at positions 8 to 796 of the family's 1533-position model. The record is from RNAcentral.